RNAcentral lists this long non-coding RNA (440 nucleotides) under Setaria viridis. RNAcentral's name for it is "long non-coding RNA (SVIR_LNC001021)". Lineage: Eukaryota; Viridiplantae; Streptophyta; Magnoliopsida; Poales; Poaceae. The record is from RNAcentral.
ACACUAGCAAUAUGAAUGUUUCAGUAUUGUAGUUGGGAUGAUGCAGCAGAGCCGAAAAGAACAUCACAGGAGAGAUAUUUUUUAUAGCAGGCCUUGCAAUUUUUAUCCGAUCGUGUUAUGCAUCUCCGUACUUAAUCGUAGUGGCAAACAGCUUCGUAUGCCUCGGUGAUCGUCUUUGAUUAUCACGGAGUGUCACAGGCAUUUUUCAUGCAGCAAUAUAUAAUAAGCUGUCUUUUAGCUUUUCUCCGCAAGCACUCAACGUCAACAGGCAACACCGGAAGUCGGAACGUGUGUCCUCAACUGCUGGUGCCUUGGGUGGUAUAGUUCAAGCAACUCCAACCACCUUCAUCUCCCUCCUCAAGCUAAAAUUUAACAAGUCUGAUCGAAAAUCACAGUCCAACAAAGUUACUAUCCCAAUAGCCAUCCUAUCUAGCUUACCA